GACGGAUGCUACUCCGCCGGGUUGGGUCUGGCCCAACACACGGCUCUCAGCGCUCUGCAUCAUGGCGGCGUCUUCUGGCGCAAUGGGCUUCUGUGCGAGGUCACCGGAAACGGGUAAAACGUCGCCGUAUUUAAAUUGUGUGUAUGUUUGCUUUGUUUGUGCUGUUUAGGAUAGCUUGCUGCCUGUGCAAGUUAGAUAGAAACCUCAACCUAGGACCAUGGUGGAUUUAUAUGAUAACUAUUAGGCUCGAGUCAGACUCCCUUCUAGUUUGUCAUUUCCCCGUCUCUGAUUAGGUUAGAAGUUUCUCCCCUGUUAAGGGGAACUACGUUGCCCUGAUCCUCAUACCAGAUGAGGUACGUAGGCAGGAGGUCGUACGAGAUCUCUCCGGGCACCCUUUUUCUUUUUGUGUGUGUUUGCUUGACAGAUGCCCUGAUCCUCAUACCAGAUGAGGUACGUAGGCAGGAGGUCGUACGAGAUCUCUCCGGGCACCCUUUUUCUUUUUGUGUGUGUUUGCUUGACAGUUAUUAGGCUCGAGUUCCAGACUCCCUAUUAACUCGUCUGUUGGUUAACCUUCGGGUGUGUGUUAGGAGACGGAUGUAAGACCAGCGAUUGGCAGUCCGUAUCCUAUUCGUGGUUUGUUUGUGUGGAGUCUGACGUAAGUCCAGCGAUUGACAGUUGGUUUCCUGUGUUUGUUUGUUGGUUCGGAGUCUGAUGUAAGUCCAGCGAUUGGCAUUCGGUUUCCAUGCUUGCCUGUUUGUGUGGAGUCUGACGUAAGUCCAGCGAUUGGCAGUCGGUUUCCAGUGUGGGUUUUGUUUGGCGUGCGUGAGCCGAACUACGGUAGCUCUAAUUCUCAUUCCCGAUGAGAUACGUAGGCAUAGGAUGCGAUAUCCUAGCGAGCCCGUUCCCCUCUUCUUCCAUCUGUGUUGUUUCCAGUGUGUGCGUGCAUUCUUUUGAGCGGUGUUUAGCAACCUUUCUUCUAUUCUUUUGAGUGUGGAUCCCGUCGAGUACGACAGAUGCGUAGGGGUGCCAAUACCUUCCCUUCGCAUAACCGACUCCCGAUCCCAUCUCUCUCUGGUCGCGAGACCAUGUCUUUUCCAGGUUUACUUCGAGCGUUUCCUUUCCCUCUUUUGGGAUAAAUAACGAGACCAUGUCUUUUCCAGGUUUACUUCGAGCGUUUCCUUUCCCUCUUUUGGGAUAAAUAACGCACGGUGGCGGCUCUGUUUGUUUUGUUUUUGCCCGCCGGUUGUUUUUCGCGGAUGCGACACCCAUUAAUCGAUCAGUCAGUGCUCUAGAUAAGAAUGUUGGAAUUAAACCCAAAACUUUGAGUAAUUCCAAGUCAAUCUUGAUAAACAAGAUUCAAUCAACCGAUCAAAUUUUCUCAUGUUUUCACUCUUCACUCGAGUGAAUCAACCAACAUUGAUUGCGAGAUUGUAUCGCUGCACAACGAUGAUGAAAAUAAGAUAAGAAAAUUAAAUUUAGGAAGAAAGGAAAUUAAAGUUUUAUCGAGAGAGGGAAAGAAGAAGAGUUUUUGUAGAGUAAUUUUCUACUCUCAAACUGAGAUUUUAUUCUUUACAACUGCAAGAUUCAAGUAUUUACAAUAAUAUGGAUUACUCCCUAUUUAUAGAUUUUGGGCUUAUUUACUUCUCAAGAAAGAUCUAAAACUAACCUAACUAAUUCAGUUAAACAAACAAAUAAAAUUAAAUCCAACAUUACUGUCGCGAUACUCUUCGACAUUUUCGACACCUAGGUGAUUCGACACUUCUUUACUUCUGUCGAACAACAUGCUUCGACACAUGGAAUUACAAUUCGACAGUCAUUUGUAAAGAAUCAAUCUUCCAUCAUCCAAAUCAAAUCAAAUAAAACGUAUAAAAUAAAUCAUACAAAACAUAACAACUUAAGUGAAAUCAAAUCUAUAGAGUUCCUAUUUUACAAUUAUUUUAUGGGUGAAUAUACAUGCUUCUAAACCUAAAUGAUCUGAAUAUAUACCAACACAUGUAAUCUGACACACGAACAAUCCAAUGCGCAUGCAAGAGAUGCAUAUUAUGCAUGCCUUUCAGAACUCUCACUAAAUUACAUCAUUUUAAUAUUCAUUUUUCACAAACUAAAUCUUUCUCAAACAUAAUCAAAAUUCUCUCAUUCACAUCACAAUCACUAUAAAAAAAUCACAAAAAAAAAUAAAAUUUCAUCCUAGUCACAUUAUCAUUCUCAAAAAUGUAUUAUAUAAAACUAUACAUUAUUUAUAUAAAACUAUACAUUAUCAUUCUCAAAAAUGUAUUAUAUAAAACUAUUAUUCAUAUUGAAUAUGAUUGUGUUUCAAUUCACUUUUUCUCUUAAAAAAAAUUAUGCAUUAUUUCAUUUACUUUUAUAAUAUCUAAUUAUUUACUUCUAUAAUAUCUAAUUAUUAAUCGGAUAAUCAAUAUAUUAUAAUAUCUAAUUAUUAAUAUUAUAUAAUUAAUAAUAUCUAACUAUUAAUAUCGCUACAAUCAUUUUAUUCCGUGACUCCUCACUAAUUUUGUUUUUGAUCAUUUGUAAUUUUUUUACUCCCUUUGACUCUGAUAAUUUACAAAUAAAUAUAAAAAAAGUAAAGUUUUUAAAUUAGAUAAAAAUAAAUUACUCCAAAAUAGAAUUCAAACUGAUACAAAUAUUACUUACGUUCAUUUUAACUCUAAAGUUUAUCAAUUAAAUAAAUAAAAAUAAUGAACUCUAAAGUUUAUCAAUUAAAUAAAUAAAAAUAAGAUAAAUAUAAAAUGUCAAACAGAGGAAUUUUUUUUUAACAGCUUAGUUGAUUCCGAUUUACUAUAGCAGGUUUUUUAUGAACAAAAAGAUUAUUUCUUUUCCUUUUUUAUUUGUUAUUUAAUUAUUCCCUUAGUUACUUAUCAUACCCCUUUUAUUUUUAAAACUUAAUUAAAUUAAACUAAGUAGUCACUUAUUUAUUUUAUUCGUUUAUACUAAAAUAUCAUUGAUCAAAUAUUCUAAUAUUCUAAUAAGCUCCAUUUUAUUUUGUUGAUCAUCCCAUUUUGGAUGAGUUAGUUGCAUAUUUGAUUUAUAUAUGUGAUUUUGAAAAUUUAUUAAUAAUCGGCCACUAAAUUAACUAUAAUAGUAAUCUAUCAUGGAUAUUAACAUAAGUGAAAAACACAUACACCCGAAAUAACUUGAACAAAAGCAAAGCAAACACCAAGAAGACACAAGAACCACUUGUAAUCUUCUCUCAAAAAAGAAAAAGAAACUACUAAUUAAUAUACACCACCAUUCAUCAUCACGGUUACAUUACAUUAGUAACACUUUCAUUGAGCCUAGCAGCCGCAGCAACAGAAGCAGCUACACCACCAGGAGUAGCAGUAGCAUCAGGACUGUUCCUCAUCUCCGCACUCGCCACCCCCGCAGCAUCAACGGAACAGCGGCGGAAUAGACGGCCGUUGAAGCGUCAUCGAGGACAAAGAACAUCGCUCAGCUUAAUCUUCUCAUCCUCACGAGGACAAUCAGCAUUAAAAGCUGCAGCUGAUUGAGCCAUUGAAGCUAACCCUCCCGGUGUUAUAACAUUACUCCCCGUAGCUCUCACCUCCGCCGCCUGUAUUGCGGCGGCAUCACUCUGUUCCACUGGCUUUUGGCCCACGGUAUAUGAUGUCGCCUCCAGUGCUUCCCCUAUGGUUAAGGCACUCUCUCGAACCGGACUGGUUGGAGCACACUGAAGCGGAGUCGGUUCAACAAAUUGUCCAACAACCUUAAAUUUAGCAGAACACGAGGUUAAAAAUAAGUGAAGUUAAAACAGAAAAGUUUGUAAAAGGAAUUAACAGAGCCGCUGGUUAAGAACCUGUCCACCGACUGAUUCGGUUACUAUGCGUCUUCCUGGGAGUUGAGUUUCCGUGACGGUGACGCCACGGUCGCCGGUGACAUCUGUGACAUCUUUGUGCCCGACGAUUCCUGCCUGCUCAUUCUUAGUAGCGGCUGCUUGCAUGACGGAUGCUACUCCGCCGGGUUGGGUCUGGCCCAACACACGGCUCACACGGUCGCCGGUGACAUCUGUGACAUCUUUGUGCCCGACGAUUCCUGCCUGCUCAUUCUUAGUAGCGGCUGCUUGCAUGACGGAUGCUACUCCGCCGGGUUGGGUCUGGCCCAACACACGGCUCUCGGCGCUCUGCAUCAUGGCGGCGUCUUCCGGUGCAAUGGGCUUCUGUGCAAGGUCACCGGAAACGGGUAAAACGUCGCCGUAUUUGAUUGGUUCUUGAUUGGUAUGACGUUUAGGUUGUUCCUGGCUCAUUUUGCUUUGAUUAGAUUAGAGUGAAUUCGUAUGUUUGGUGAGAAAAUUUGUAGCUAGUUUGUUUGAGUUUUGGAUGCGUAUAGUUUAGCUUUGAAAAGGUAUAUUAAUAGAUUGGAAUGGAGGUGGAAAAGAGAGUUCGUGGCAAAAUACUACACAUGGCAAGUGAUGGCAAGGAGACGUGGCAUGUUUGUUUGGAAUCCACAUAGCAUUCGUUUGCAAAAUUCAUUAAUAUUAAUGUUAAUUAAAAGAAAUCAAAUAUAUUUUUCAUAUGAUUGACAGUGAUAGUGACAAGGCAAUAGUGCUCAUGUUUUUAGAUUGAAUAUAGAUGGUACUAGUAUUUAAAGUUUAGUUGGAUCAAACUAUUAUUUAUAUAUUUUUGUAGAUGCAAAAAGUAAGCUAUAUAUGACCUUAUUGGCAAUGAAUCAAUGAAUUAGUUAAGUAUUACUUUAAAUGUUCUCUGAAUAAGUUAUGUAGUUUCUUCUAUUGCUAAACUUAUAUCUAAGAUUCUUUAGUAUGCUCUUAGACGGGUUGAUGUUAUUUUUAUGUUAGAUGAACUUGGGCCUUUACGAUAUACCACUUCACAUUUUUUUUCUCAACCAUGAUACCUCUAGGAAAAAAGUGAUUAGGUAAAAAAUAAAUGUAAGGGACCAAGUAAUUAAAUAAAAAAAAUAUGGUGAUUAACUAAGAAAUAAAUAUAAGGUCUAUAAAGGCGAAGUGUUUAAGCAAGAAAUAUGGAAGUUCACAAUCCAUUAAGUUUGAGGUCUCUAAGAAUGAACUGAUUAAGUAAGAAAUAUGGAAGUUAUGAGUUGGAGUGGUUGAGGGCAAAACCUGUCAAUCCAAGAGGCGAUAUGCUUAAUAAUUUUUCUCUGUUCUAGUCUUUGAAGCAUGUAUAUAUAGCCACUUUAGUCUUAGUAUUGAGAUUGUAUCAUUGUGUAGUUUAAGAAAAUAUGUCAUUUCUUGAGGGAAAGAUCUCGGUCACACCUUGGCGAAUCUCACUUCUGUAAGCAAUGGGGCAUACAACUCGUCAGCGAAGAUGUAACGUAAUGUGGGGAGCUUACCUUUAUAACUCGGUAAGUGCCUCGCCUCAUAAACAAUUAUCUAAGUUUUUUGUAAGUGUUUCAUGUGAUCUAAAGUGAGUGGAUUGAGGUAUGGACUAUGUGAAUAUUUGAUUCUUUGUAUUUUGUUGAGUAAAUCACAACUUGACGAGUUUGUUCAACUUAUCUCAACUCAUGGAGUAUAUUUAGAUGACCUAUUAUAUGCACUACCACAAAAAAAUAUUUUUUACCACAAUUAUAAAUGUGGGUUAACAUUGACUUCUUAUGCGAGGUAACAAAUGUCAUCAUGAAAAGUGUGUCAUUUUAUCUUUAAGUUGAAAUUCCAUCAAAUGGAGUGGGUAAACAUAAACAUUAUACAAAAAAUAUUCAUUGUUUACACCAAUUGCAGAGGCAAAUUAGCACACACACCUUAUAUUUUUAUUAAAAAAUUAAACAAAUGAUUAAUCAACAAGAGCAAAAAUUAAAAAGCAAAUUCUUGAACGACCGCCCAUAAGUUUUUUUUUGUGAGUUUUGUAAUCGGUCGUUAAGUACAUAUAAUUUGAACCAUAUUUGAAACAAAUAAGGAUAAUCAACAACAACAACAUUAAAUCUGUAAAUCAUUGAUCUCAACAACAACAACAUUCAACAUAAUUCAAACUCAAAUAUCAAUAACAACAACAACAAAAACAUUCAAAAUUCAAUAUCAACAACAUGCAUGAAUAACUAUAACUAAUAUAAAUAAUUUAUAAUCAUAUAUGAAUGUCACAAAGAAUAACACUUACUUUAGAGAUUUUUAAUUUUCUGACUUUUACUUCUAAAAUUAUGCAACAUAUGGUAUCCUUCAACAUCUCUACAUGUUGGAAAAAAUAAAUAUUAAUAAAAAGAAUACAAAUGUAAAAUAAAUAAAUAUAUAUUAUUAAGUCAUAUAAAAUAUUUACUUACUAGUUUUGAUAUAUUCCCUCUUGAUGAUCAUGAUGAAUAAUACGUACAUUAUCUGGAUCAUUUUUUUCAAAUGAGGGACGCACAUGUGUUGUGAAAGAAGGAGUCUCAAAUUUAAAUCUUAAUUUUCAUCAUUAUUAUUUAGAAGUAUGUUUUCCUUGUAAAACAAAUGAUCAUCUAGUGUUUGAAGAAUUAGUGACAGAAAAAAAAAAUUACUUGGAAUGUCACGAUGAAUGGUUGAUUCAUAUAAGAUGUCCUACGAAGAUUAACCCGUGUGAAUCUUAAUUCAUCAAUUUCUACAUCAUUGUUACUAUCAAUUCACUUGCACUUAAAUAAAGGCACUUUAAAAGUAACAUAAUGAAUCUCCAAAAUAUCCUCAAUGACCCCAAAGUACACUCUAGAUUCUAGUACAUGAUUGUUAUCUUUGAAACUAGAUAAUCACUUUAAAAGUAACCUAUUUUUAGCUACUUGGCAUCAUGAUGCAUGACGGCCAACCCGUCAUAACAUACUGAAAAAGGAUCCUGAUCGUGGGUCCAUGAGAAACGUCACGAUGCAUGACGGAAAACUCAUCAUGGUUCUUAAGCGCACACCCUUUUCUUUCCUUCUAAACUACUGACUAUCACUCCAUUUUGAGGCAUGACGGCCAUUACACCUUUUGUACUCAUCAUGACAGUCUGCAACUUUCCAGUUCACUACUAUAGAACACACUUAUCAUAAUUGUUGGAAAAAGGGAUAUAACCACGUUCGAUCAAUUGUUGUGAGGUAAUGUGUGAUUGUAUUGAUGCUUUUCAUCACAUGUGUAUGACUGUUGUGAUAAACUAGGUAGCACAUUAUAUAUCACAACGGUCAAAGUAUAUAAAGCGAAAAGACAUGAGUUCGAAACCUAGUGAUUAUAUGGUUUGUAAUAUUUAGCGCUCUAUCUAUAACAAUGGUUUGUAUAAAUAACCAUGAUUAAAUUCUUUUUUAUUUAAUAUUAUUUUAUUUUUCCAUAUAUUACAAACCUGGAUGUUUCUUACCUGUAUAUUAUACAUAUAUUAGCGAAAUAUUUACAAAAUAUCAAAUUAAGCAAUAAAAAUAUAUUUACAACCAUCAAAGACGAAGUCAUACAAUACCACCCCCUUUUCAACUAAUGCAUCGAAAAUAAACGUCAAACGUCUACGAACGUCGUCUAAGUCAUCGAGAGAGAAAGGUGUCAUGUUAUUAAACGUCUACAUAAACAAGUGAAAAAACUUGAAUAUCACGUUAUUUGAAUAAUAAUAGAAAAUUACUUUAACAUUAAUAUGUUAUUGUAAACAUUUCAUGACAAUAUACAUACCUAAUCCCACGAAUGAACAAUGUCAGCAAAGACGAUGUUAAAGAUGUGUUUCAUUACAUAGUACUCACACUCAUAUCCUCUUAUUAUUUCCUAGUCUACAAAUUUAAACAUUUCAUGAAUAUAUAUAUAUAUAUAUAUAUAAUAUAUAUAUAUAUAUAUAUAUAUAUAUUAUAUAUAUAUAUAUAUAUAUACGAAAUACGAUCUUUUUUCUAGAGUUGUUCAACCUAUAGUGUUUCUCCACAACCUUAUAUAUUGAAAAAGAUUUAAAAAUAUUACACGCUAAAAUAACUACUUAACUAUUUCAUUUAUUUUUUCUAUUAAAAUAUAUAUUUUUGACGGGAAAGAUUACUUAAGUUAUAUAUCUUUUAUAUAUAUUUCUUAAUCAUCACUAUACUAUAUUUAUUUACAAUUUAUAACGACAUUGCGUGAUUCGUCGAACGCACGAUAGAUGAUUACUUAAUUAUUUUAUUUUAUUUUUCUACUAAAAUAUACAAUUUUGACGGGCCGAGACUACUUAAUUUGUAUAUAUUUCAUAUAUAUUUCUUAACCAUCACUUUAAAUAUUUUUUAUAAUAUACAUUUCUUAAAUACAAUUAUAUAAUUUUUAUUUUAUAUUUAUUUCAUAUUUUGUUGACUUUCUUAGACCCGUGCGAGUCUCUUAAUUGGGUACAAAAUUAGAAAGUUAUGAAAAGUUAAGAGAUUUUUUCAUUUUGAUUUAUAUACAAAUGAGUCUUACUUAUUUAUAGUUAUUGUCCAAAAUUAUUAUUUAAAUAUUUAUUAAAAAAACAUGGGUUGGAAAGACAUGAAGAACAUACAUUGAUCUGACCUCUGUCAAAAGUUGUUAUUCUCACACUUUUCUUUCAUUCUCUCAAAUUUCAAUCAUUUUCUACUUUCCCUCCAUUUUCAUCUUCACCACUUUUACAACAACAAAAAUCUCAAAUCAAUUCAUUAAACAAACAAACGAAUUGAUUAUUUCUAUUGCUACAACUAUAAACCUUAAAAUCAAUGCAGCCCGAAGGAAACUUUAAUAAUGAUGGCGCGAGAAACAUAUUAUCAAAUUUGUAACCCGUGGUGUCAGAACAAUCCGGCAAAGGCUUACCCUAUACGUCGAAAAAAAAUCGAACGCCGCUGACAUUUGACAGUGGAAAAUAGACAAAAGAUGUUAGAUAAUUCGGUAAAGUUGAAAGGAUUCGAGUCUAAAUCGUGAUUGAUGUCACUUUUCGUAAAAGUAUUUCAAGCACUCUCUUUAUUGUCUUAGAGUUUAACGCAAGAAUUCUCAGGAUAAUUCAGCCUCGUAAUCGAAUCUGCACAAGACUGGUGAAGAUUGGAAUGCAGAGAAGUGUGUCUGGAAUUUAUGAGAAGAUGAUGCACGAUUUUGAUAUGUUGAUUUUUAAAUAUUGAACAAUGUAUUUAUAGGUCAUGCAUGUGUUAUUUCACAAGGUUGUAACUCUUGAUGAAACAACACCUUUUCAGCAUAGUUUGUAAUGGUUCGCUUAUGGAUACAUUAUGCACCACUUCAUAAAGUGUUGCAUGUUUUGAAUUCGAAGUUCAGACUUUAAGCAACGACUAAAACCAAGAGCAAUACUUAAAAUUAAGUCAUUGCAUGGCGGCUGCAGACCUCCGUCCUCCGGAGCAUCACUGGCGUUGCCGUAUAAUGCCGCGAGUAGCCCGAUUGCUCUGAUGCGUCGUGCCUAAGUGCUAAAGUUCCCCCUACAAUCCAUCACUAGAGGCUCUACACCCACGCCCUCGGACACGGUCCUGGAGCCAGAGCCGGUGUCACCGGUGGCAACAUCGGCGAGAGGUUGUUUGGAUGAGACAUGUGACAUAAUAUUUAGGACCAUUACAUUUGUUCAUGUGGCACUUUAUCCUCUUUAGCUCCAUUAUUGAGUUUAAUGUUUUUAAGUCUUUAUAAAUGCUUUUAAAGUGACCAUUUUUUAUGUGGGCCUAUUAGAAAUGCAUUUAUUGUCAUUAACUCAACUUCACACUUAUUGUCAUGUUGUAACACUCCUGUGGGAAUUAAUUAUCCAUAAUUUCCAACAAUCUCCCACUUGUUCUAAUGAUGACAAGACCAAUUCUAGAAAAGAUAAACAAAGAAUAUUAAUACAGUUAAGUAUCUUUCGAUUGGAACUUAACCUUAGUAUGGAUAACACAAAGUCUAAUCAGAAUGUUAGGUAGCAAUGCUUUGAACCGUUAUCCCUUGUGAUUAUACCGAAAUUACCUUACACACACUCUUUAAUGGUUCUUCGCCCGCACCUCUCGCCUAGCACUACUUAUGGCCAUGUGUUUUUCCUAUUUUCAUGAAUCUUUCAUGAGAGAAACUCCAACUUUCACUUUGAGAUGACACCAUCUCGAAAUUCAUAUAGGUGAAUUUCAUUUUGUAUUUAUUUAUUAAGAUAUAUAUCCUUGAUAAAGAAAUUCAUUAAGAUUUUGAAAAAUUCAACUCUCAAUAUGUAAUAAUCAACAUUGUCAUAAGAUGUUGCAUAAUCAACCAACUCAACGACUUGUUGUUACCCAUUGAAUCUUAGGUUAUGGUUUAUUAACUUCUGAUUGGAUUUCUACCAUUGUCGGAACUCUUAUUCUGGCACAUAAUUUAUCACGUAAAUUAAAUAUAAAAUAAAACAACGUAGGGUGUCACACAUUCAUAACACACAUGACCUGCUCCGUAAUACGGGUUUUAACAAUAAAUUUCAAUACACACAUUUGUAAUAAGGAUGUUUACACGAUAUCCCACUUAUCUGAAUCAUAGCUCGGAUGUUUACACGAUGUCCUUCUCAUCUUAUUGGUAUUAGAUAUUCACAAAAUAAGACAUUCAUAACUUGUCACUGUAUGCUCACUUCCAUUUUAAAGUAUCAUCGCAUCGGAAUUAUCAUCACAAUUAUGGAAGAUAAAGCAAGUAAUAACAUCUAGUCUCAACUUCAAUUGUAAUAAUAAAAUAAGAGGGUUCUAAUCAAUCAACUCAACAUCUUAAGAAUUCUCAACAACAAAAUUAGUCUUAUGACUUCAACAUAAUCAGACAUAAGGAAUAUAAUAAGUGUUUAACCUAACCCGAUGCUACCUUCCACUUACUUCAGCAAUACUACUCUUGAGUAUCUGCACGAUGCCCAUGUAAAGACAACAUUCAAGUAGAAGGGGUGAGAAUUCAUUUCAAUAAUAACGAUAUAGAAUGAAGAAUAGAUUACAACAUCUACACAAUCAUGCACAACAAUAUAUCACAUUCUUACAUCCAAAUCAUAAUCAACAUCAUACACGACAACAUCUCAAUUAUCAUCAAUGUCAUACAAAACCAUAUCUCAAUUAUCAUUAACAUCAUAUACAACAACAUCUCAUCCAACAAUACAUCAACAACAACCAAUACAAAUGCAACACUUAUGCAAUAUACUCAACACCGACUCGACAUGCACAUGGUAUCAAAUAUGAACACUCAGGUUUAUCUCACUCCAUGAUCCCCAUCAUAGGAUCGAUUCCCUCUUGGAACUGGAGCACACCAAAUCGCUACCAUCAUCAUAGGCAAUGCUCCACUAAUCCCCCAUAAUAGGAAUUAAUUACUCGCACUCGAUCCAUCACAACGGGAUCGAGGCUCACAAAAACUCGUUACCAUCAACAUAGGUAACACUUCACUAAUCCCUCAUAAUAAGAAUUAGCUACUCGCACCUGAUCCAUCACCAUAGAAUUGAGGUUCACCAAAAUUGGAGCGAAGCCUGUACACCAAGAUGCAUGACUCUCAAAUAACAUGCAUUAACACAACAAGGUUCACCUAAAGGAUCCCUACACACAUCUCAUAAUUUAUGCAUCGCAUCAUUCAUCAUGAAGUAACCAAUUCAUGUUUCCAUGUGAAUAAUAUUAACAAAAAACAAUAACUUGUUAACAUCUUAACAUCAUCGACAUAACAACAUAAUCAUCACACCACAAUAUUACAACAAUGCAACGAUUCAUCAACCAGACGUAUAAACCAAUACAUUUAUUAACAUACUAGGCAUAUGAAUAUUAUUAAAAUAUAUAAACAAUUACUACCAUGUUAUAGGUAUGAGCAUUAGCUUUCUAACGCUUCCAACGACAUCAAAAUCGGACUUACAAAUAAAAGUUAUGACCAAAAUCGUCGGGAUAUGUCAACAAUUCAUUAACCGUACGUAUGAACAAAACUUUCACCAACACAGUAGGCAUAAGAAUAAUACUUAAACAAUUCACUUAUCACCAUCAUGUUAUAUCUCUUAGAGUCAACUUUCUAAUGCUUUAAACCCUAACCCAAAAUGAUUCACGAGUUGAAAGUUAUAAUCAAAAUCGUGCACAAAGGUGUUACUAUAAAUUGUUGUUUUCUAAAAUUUCCAACACAAUUUUCAUCUUUUUCAACCCCAAAAACGUCCAUGAAAUAAUCACUAAAAUUAUUUUAUCCCUGAAACAAAAUUAUAGCACUCUACUUCAGAUAUCCAACGCUUCAAACGACACUCAAUUUGGACUUACGGACCAAAAGUUAUGGCCAAAAUAAUUUCGACCGAAAUACACACAAAAAAGGCUCACGCGCUUAGCGCGGUCGUGACGGACAGAAUGCAGAAUUUUCUACAUUUUUCAUUGUUGGAGGCCUUCCGGACCUCCGAUUUCAAUUCCGUAUAAAACCAAAUGCUCGGAAAAUUACAACUCAUGCAAUACUCUAAUUAUCUAAAGUUAAUUUACAGUUAUAACAUAAUUAAAUUAUUUAAUUACAGUUUUAAGAUUAUGCCUAAAACAUUCGAAAUUGCAACAAUGGUGGAUAUAUGUUCAAUCAUAAAAACAGAAAAAUACAUGCACAUAAGGGACACGAAAUUCAUCAUAUAAUAACCAUCAUAGCAUCCAAAUUCAAAAUUAUGAAUCAAAACACUCAACCCUAAGGAGGUUAAAGAUUCCUCCAUUCUACCCUUCUACCAUAUCCAUUACUAUCGGAACUAGUUCUCACCCUUACCUAACUUCCUUGCAAAAAUUCUAAAUUGAAACCUUCACUCUCUUCCCUUGAUCACUUUUCCUAUUUCCUCUUUACUCCUUUUUCUCAAAUGUCACGUACUGUGAAAAUCUCCCUAAAUCUAGGUUCCUCUUAACUUUUUAUUUUUAGGGUAAACUUUUCUAAAUCACCAACUUGACCCAAAUUUAAGUAUCUCAUAUUCCUUCCUCCCACUAACUUUCUCAAUUUCUCAUAUUUGGCCCAAUUAUUCUAUCUUCACUAAUUAAUAUAAUAAAAAUAAAUAAAAAAUUAUUUUUAAUUAUCAAAACAAUUCUAAAUUAUUCUACUUACUUCUAUCAUCCCUCUAUACCUUUAACUCAAGGAUACAUACUCCGUCAACACUCAGGCAUAAAAUAAAUCAUCAAAAUAUAUAUUUCAAACAAUUAAAAUAUAAUAAAAUAUCUAAUAAAAACGGGGUCUUACAGUCUUUACUAAGUCUUUGGUCAGUGGCUUAGUAAAUGGAUCAGCUAAAUUAUAGUUUGUUCAUAUAUAUGUCAGUGAAAGGAAUCCAUCCUUAAUUAAUUUUCUCACGAAAGAAUGUCUAAGACCUAUUUGCCUAGACUUUCCAUUAUAUACUUCACUGAACGCUCUUGCUAGGGUGGCUUAGCUAUCACAAUGUAUCAACACUUUUGAAACAUUGUCUUUAGCCAAUGAAACUUUCAACAGAAGGUCCCUUAACCAUUCAGCUUCUUGACCAUCGGAAGCAAGAGCCACAAACUCUAAUUCCAUAGUCGAAAGAGUAAUACAUGUUUGUUUCUUGCUCUUUCAAGAAAUCGCACCUCCAGCCAAUGUAAAUAUUCACCCUAUUGUAUAUUUAUGAUCUCUAACACUCGAUAUUUAACUCGCGUCGGUAUAUCUUUGUAGUAUGGCAGGAAACCUAACAUAAUAAAGGUCAAGAUUUUUAGUUUUUAAGAGGUAACCAAAAAUCCUAUUUAUGGCCUUCCAAUGUUCACCAUUUGGAUUUCUAGUAAAUCUACUCAUCUUACUAACUGCAAAUGUUAUGUCACGUCUGGUACAUUUCAUUAAAUACAUUAGACAUCCAAUUGCACUUGAUAUUCCAAUUGGGCCACAAUUCUUCCAUUGUUCUUUUGAAUUUUGACACUAGGAUCAAAUGGAGUGCUUACUUCCUUAAAGUGUAGGUGUUUGAACUUAUCCAACAUUUUCACAAUAUAAUGUGUUUGACUAAGUUCAUAACCCCCACUUAUUCGUUUUACUUUGAUCCCUAAAAUAGUGUGAACUAAUCCAAGAUCUUUCAUCUUGAAUGUGGAAGUUAGAAAUUAUUUUUGUUUCUAAAAUUCCAUUCAUCUCAUUGCUAAUGAUCAACAUAUCAUCAACAUAUAGACACAAAAAUAUUACAAUGUUUCCACGCACCUUUAUGUACAAACAUUUUCACAAGAAUUUGGAAUAAAUCCAUUUGAAAGUAUGAUAGAGUCAAACUUUUGAUGUCAUUGUUUUGGUGAUUGUUUUAAACCAUAUAAUGGUUUGACAAGUUUGAAUACCUUUUGUUCAUUUCUAGGAAGCACAUAACCUUCUGGUUGUUCCAUGUAGAUUUCCUCAUCGAGAUCUCCAUUUAAGAAUUUUGUUUUAACAUCCAUUUGAUGAAUAAUAAGGUCAUUCUGAUAAGCUAAUGCAAACAAUACUCUUAUUGUCGUCGUCCUUGUUACAGGUGCAUACGUGUCGAAAUAAUCAACAUCUUCCUUUUGUCUAAACAUUUUUGCUACUAAUCUAGACUUGUAGGUUUUUAAUGUACCAUCACUAUGAUAAUUUUUUCUAAACACCCAUUUACAUCCAAUGGGCCUUGAACCCUUUAGAUGAUCGACAAGUUCCAAAGUGUGAUUUGAUAUGAUCAAAUCCAUUUCGUCUUCGAUAACAUCUUUCUAAAAAGAAGAGUCCACUAAAGCCAUUGCUUCUUUAUAGGUUUUAGGGUCAUCUUCUAAUAGGAGAAUAAUAGGGAUCUUAUGAACAUCAUUCUUGCAAUUUCCUUCAACUAGAUAAAAGGAAAUGAGCUGAGAAUCGAUUUCAUUUGGUCCUAAAACUUUAGCUUUUCAGGUUCUUUUGCUUAUCCUAGGCUUAGGUUGUGUUUCAACAAUUCCCGAGAUAUUUUCGGGUUCUUCUUCAACAAUUCAUGGAGAGUCUUCAUCACGAGAUUCUUCAUUCAUGGGAAUCUCAUAUUCCUUAUCUUUCGUGAUAAGUUUUUCAAAAAACUCCACAUCUCAGGAUUUAAAAAUUACGUUAGACUCCAAACUUAAAAGUUGAUAUGCCUUGUUGUUGGAUGCAUAUCCUAUGAAAGCACAUUUGAUCCCUCGAGGACCCAAUUUAGUUAUUUUAGGAUUCAUAUUCUUAUUAUAUGUCACACACACCCACACUAUAAAAUAACUAAUAUUUGGUGAUCUACCUUUCCAUAUCUCAUAUGGAGAGAUACCAGUUAACUUUAAAGAAAUCCUAUUCAUUAUAUGACAUGUGGAUAGUAAUGCUUCACCCCACAAAUUAAAUGAAAAUUCAGAAUGCAUUAACAUAGCAUUUAUCAUUUUUUGAUAUGUUCGAUUCUUUCUCUCGGCUAGACCAUUUUAUUAUGGUAUACGAGGUGUGGAACAUUCAUGUAUAAUGUUUUAUUCUUCACAAUAUGCAUUAAAUUCCAUAGAAAAAAAUCACCACCCCUAUCACUUCUAAGGACUUUGAUACUUCUACUUAAUUGAUUUUCGACUCCCGCUUUACAGAUUUUAAAGGCAUUUAAAGCGUCAUAUUUAUGCUUUAGAAGGUAUACAUAUGUGAACCUAGAGCAAUCAUCAAUAAAGGUUAUGAAAUACCGGUUCCCCCCACGGAUUAGCAUGCCAUUAAAUUCACACAAACCAGAGUGCACCAUAUCAAGCGAAUUUGAUUUUCUUUCAACACUUUUGAAAGGUUUGUUGAUCUUUUUUUAUUUGACACAUAUUUCAUAUUUUUCGAAAUCAUGAAUAUUGCAUGAGAUCAAACCAGAUUUAAUUAGUUUGUUCAUAAUACUAAUAUCAAUAUGUGCUAAUCUAUAAUUCCAUAAAGAAGUAGAUUCAAGCAUAUAAGAAGAAUUAGAAAUUUCAUUAAUAAUAUUAUCGGUAGUACAAUGUUUGAUCAUUUCCUCAGCAAGAUAUCAUUUUCCUACAAAUACACCAUUACGGGUCAAUAUUAGUUUGCCUAAUUCAUAUACAAACUUAAUACCAGCUUUUUCCAACAAGUCCCCACUAACUAGGUUCUUACUCAUGUCGGGUACAUGGAGUACAUUGACAAGAGUAACUUUCUUUCCAGAAGUAAAAUUCAGUUCGACGGAUCCUUUUCCAACGACUCUAGAUCGUACUUCAUUUCCCAUAUGCACUUCUUGUCCAUCAUUUACUUCAGAAUAGUUUUUAAAUGCUGCUUUGUCAUAAGAAACAUGCACGAUAGCAUAUGUAUCAUACCACCAUCCUUGCAUUUUGCCUUUGAUUGCCAUAAUCUCGCUCUUCGUAGCAACUAUGUCGUCAUUUGCAUGAAUAACAUUAACUUCGUUUUUGAACUUGUUAUGCAUGCAAUCUAGAGUAUAAUGACCUGGUUUUCCGCACACAUAGUAGCCGUCUUUUGGUCCGCCGGAGUUCUUGAACUUGUUAUGUUCUUUCUUAGGGCCAAGAUGGUUCUUCAUGUCAUCAUGUUUCCUCUUUUCUUUUCCAAUCACAGCAUUGGCUUUAGAGUAUCCAGGAGACUCUAACGUUUCUCUAUCUUUCAUAUCCUCCUCGAUUCGAAUGUGUUUCUGAAGUUUCUCCAACGAGAAAUCCUCAUAAUUAUGCAACAAUUUCGUUAUGUAUCAUUUCCACGAAGAUGGAAACUUUGCAAUGAUUGCACCAACUUGGAAAGCUUUUGAAAUGCCUAUUCUUACAACUUUUAUUUUAUUCACGAGAACCUCUAACUUGUGUACUUGUGCAAGAAUAGGCUUGGAAUCUAUCAUUUUAAAAUCAAAGUAUUUAGAUAUUAAGACCUUUUUCGUACCUUCCUCUUCAGCCUUGAAUUUGAACUCAAGUGUUUUCCAUUUUCUGUUGCAGGCUGAGUAUCCGUAUAGAGGUCGUAAAGAACAUCAUAUAGCAUAUUCAGGAUAUGUGCACGUCAUAUCAAUUCAUCCUCUUUACGUUUCUUGCGCUCAUUCUUGAGUUCAUCAGAGUCAUCCUCGGUUGGUUCAGGAAUUAGUGUCAAGUUAGGAUCUAAGACAUAGUGAACCUUCAGAGCGGUCAGUAGGAAUGUCAUCUUGUUUUGUCAUCUGGUGAAAUUGAUUCCAUCAAAACGAUCCAAAUUGACAAGGUCCUGGUUCAUAACUUUGAUGCUUGAAACUACAACGAUUUUGAACGCAAAAAUACCCAGGAUAAUUCAGCCACGUAAUCGAAUAUGCACAAGAUUGGUGAAGAUUCGAAUGCAAGAAAGUGUAUCAGGAAUUAAUGAGAAGAGGACGCAUGAUUUUGAUAUGUUAAUUUUUGAAUACUGGGCAAUAUAUUUAUAGGUCAUGCAUGUGUUGUUUCACAAGGUUGCAACUUUUGAUCAAACAACACAUUUUCAGCAUAGGUUUGCAAUGAUUCGCCUAUAGAUACAUUAUGCACCAGUUCAUGAAGUGUUGCAUGUUUCAGAUUCACUACGCCAAAUAAGGGAAAAGAGGGCGCUUAUUUUGGCCUAUAACAGCGCUUUUAAGCGCCCUUUAAUCUGGCGCUGGCAUAGGUAAAGACAGCGCUUUGUUUUCCUGGAGAAAGCGCUGUCUAAAGUGGCCACAUUAUAGUGCGCUUUAAGACAAAAGCGCCCUCUGGAGUGGUCCAUAAAGGGACACCUUAGGAGGGCGCUUUCUGGAGAGCCCCUCUUAAAGUUGUCAAUGUAAAGUGUUUAGAGGCGCUUUCAGGAAAAGCGCCCUCUAAGUGUCAAUGUAAAGUGUUUAGAGGGCGCUUUCAGAAAAAGCGUCCUCUAAAGUUGUCAAUGUAAAGUGUUUAGGGGCGCUUUCAGGAAAAAGUGCCCUCUAAAGUUGUCAAUGUAAAGUGUUUAGAGGGCGCUUUCUGGACAAAGCGCCCUCUAAAGUUGUCAAUGUAAAGUGUUUAGAGGGCGCUUUCUGGACAAAGCGCCCUCUAAAGUGUUAGUUAUUUUAAAAAAAAUUGUUUGAAAAACAGUGGAUAUAUAUUUAAUUGUAACCUGUUCGCAUGCUGCAAAAGUGUAAAAUUCAUAUGAUUUCAUCCUUUAAUCCAAUGUUAUAACCAUUAAUCCAUUGAUAUAUACAACAUGAAUCCAUUUAAUAUCACACAUUAAUCCUCCAUAUAUACAACAUUAAAUAUAUGAUUCUUUGAUCAACAAUAUACAACAACAUAUUCUCAAAGUACUACAAUUAAGAGAAUAAAAACAUAGCAACCAACACCCAGUGACCACUGUAUCCAAAAGCUGUCUAGUAGUUCUAACCAAUACUAACAAAAACGCCCAUCCACCCAUGGUGGCAAACAUGUUAUGUAUAUCCAAAAGCUGUCUAGUAGUUCUAUCGCACAUCCAUACAAAUAAGGCUCAACCAAAACAACAGAUGAGCAAGCAUAAGUAGUGUCCCCUGCAAAAAGAAACGUCCAAUGCAAAAUAAAACACAGAACUGUCAAAGGCGAUUGAGCAACAAAUAGUAAACAAUGGCAUAAAGUUAAAUGACAUAGCUAAUAUUACCUGAAUUCCUGCAUGGCUGUUAAGGUAAAAUCAAAUUCCCUAGGGUGACAAAUGCUGGUGUCUACCACGGUUCCUUUGACAAUUUAGAACAACAAAAUCAGCAAAAGUGAUAAAUUCAAAUGAUAAUAUUACAGCUGCGUUGAGAAAUAUAUUGAAAAACCUGCAUAAUAUUUCCACUUCUAUCGGUCUCUUUGGGGUUGACAGGAAAGAGACGGUGUGAUGUCUCUUUUGGACCACUACAAAAGUAACUUUAGGUAGAUACCAUCUCUCUAUUGAGACAAAAGCCUGAUGAAAAAAAAUUAAAAUUAAACGCAGAGAAUUUAGUGGUGUAUUUUAUGAACGACAAAGUAACAAGAAAUAAACUUUGAGAAGUCCUAAAUUCUGCCUACAAUACAGUGCUGCAAAGUUGAUGCAACAAAAACAUAUAACAAUAUAUGGUAAGUACCUGUAUCUCCGACCAUAUUUUUUCUUUGCCAACCUUCAAGUCCGGACUUCUCCAAUUAUCACAUGUAACGGAUAUGUUGUCGAACAAGGAAACCAAUGUAACUUGCCAAACAUUGAACCCUUAUCUUUUGAAGAUAGAAUUGAUAUAUGUUUAGAUGGACAUGUUCCAUUGUCGUAGAGGGAUACUUUCAAAUAUCCAGCAUCAUCAUCUACGCGAGUGAGGCUUGACGACAAUAGAGCAUCUCCAUCUAACAAAUAUCCAGCAUCAUCAUUUUACCUGUAAAAAGAAAACAAUUAAAAUCAGAUGACAAAUGUAAAAGCAAUUAAAUCAUAAAAGUCAUUUUACCUGUAAUAAAGAAAACAAUUAAAUCAUUUGACCUGUACCUUUUUCACUAAGUUCUCUUUCUUUUCUUGGUUGGAUAUGUUCUACAUGUCUCUUAACAACACGGACGGUUGGAUUGAUCCAAAUCCCUCAUUAUGAUCAUUCUCAUAUAUGAAUCAUUUGAUAUAAUAUUCUCAUCUUGACCAUUUCUGGUAAACGAUUCAAUCUCAACAUCAAUAUCACCUUGAUCUCCAGUGUUUUCAUCAAUUACUUGUUGGAAAAAAGAACUAUAGACCUUUCGUACUUUUCGGAUCAUUGACAUAGAACACUUGUCUAGCUUGAGAGGCUAGAGUAAAAGACUCAUCUUUGUAUCCCACCCUAUUAAGAUCCACUUGCAAAUCCUGACUUAUCCAUUCGAAUGCCGUUAUUAUUUUCAACCACUUGCAACCAAAUAUAGGAAUCUGAAACUUCUCAUAAUCAAAACACCCAAAUGCGCUCGAUAACACCAAAAAUACGACAGAUUUGCAAAUUUGGGGGUUUAAGUCCUUACACUUGAUAUGUGCAUUGCUUCAGCUACCCGGUGACACCACUAUUCUGCAUAGUACUUUUAUCAUCUUGUUCUUUGGUAUAAAAUGUGUAUCCAUUAAUCGCGUAUGCGCUAUAAGAAAAAACAUGGAAACUUGGACCAUAUGCUAAGCACUCAACCUUUCUGUUAUUGAAGCGGGAUCUGAAUAAUACUUUGAAUAAAUAUGAUCCUUAAACCAAGGUAUAAAACAUCGAUUGUGCUCUCGUACUAUCCAAUUUUCAUUCUAUUUGGGAUUUAAACCUCAGAGAACAUCCUUGUGAAUUUCAACAUAGGCUCAACCUCAUUCUCAUUGUGCAGAACAUACAAAUGCACUUGAUCCGUUCGACCCUUGAUACUGCCACGAUUUUAUUUCCAAUUAGAUUUUUUCCUUCUUUCUUUUCGACAAGCUGAGACUUGGGGAGUCGAUGACUGAACAUUAGACAAUAUUCAGUACCAAAACUCAAUCGCUUCUUCAACAAUGUAUCUUUCAACCAUACAACCUUCUGGUCGACUUCGGUUCUUCACGUACCCUUUAAUAUUUUCAUAUAACGUUCAACAGGGUACAUCCAUCUCAUAUAAGCUGGUCCAUACAAUUGUGUCUCUUUCACAAGAUGAACACUAGAUGUAACCAUUAUGUAAAAAAAAUGAUGGAGGAAAACAUUUCAAGCUCACACAAGUAUAAGAUUUCUUUUUGCACAUUGUGAUCGCAGGAUUGAUCACCUUACUGCAAUUGACUUGAAGAAAGAACACAACUUAUUUAUAGAGUCUUACUUUUCUGGAAGAAUAGAACGUAUACCUAUUGGGAGAAAAUGUUCCAUUAUAACAUGGCAAUCAUGGUCUUUAAACUCUUUAACUUGAGGUCUUUCAUAGCACAAGUCUUCUAUAUCUGAAGAGUACCCUUCUGGAACUUAACUUCACUUAGAAACUUACACAUGUUUUUUUUCUCCUUUCUAGAUAGAGUAUAAGCAGCAGGCGGUAGAUAUGUUCGUUUUCCUUUCUUCAAGGGUCCUAAUUCAGUUCUUAUUCCCAUCGUUAUCAAGUCCUUUCUUGCCUUAAGGCCAUCCUUAGACAUUCCUUGUAUAUAUGAGUAACGUGCCAAUAACACUUUCAAAUACAUUUUUUUCAAUAUGCAUAACAUCAGAAAAUGUCUCACAUACAAGGACUUCCAAUACGCAAUUCAAAAAAAACUGACCUCUUUCUUCCACCCACUUUUGACAAGGUGUGGGCAAAAGGCUUGCCAAACUGAGUAUCCAAAUUCUUUCACCUUUUCAAAAAUUGAUCACCCGUCAAUAUAGGUGGAGCUCUGCCUUGUUCUGUCUCUCCACUUGAACGCCUUUCUCCAUCCACGGUAUGAUGAUUUGAAUUUAAGAAUCUCCGAUGACCGAGAAAGACAUUCUUCUGACCAAAACUCCAAGCGCUUCAAUCUGUUUUAUCUUCACAAAUAGGACACGCACAUUGACCUUUUAUGCUAUACCCUGAUAGAUUUCCGUAUGCUGGAAACAUUAAUUGUGCCAAACAACAUCGCCCUCAAGUUGAAACUUUCUUUCCUAUAUCCAUCAUAAACCUCCACAGCGUCUCCACAAAAUCUUUAAAUCUCGAUUAAGGCUUCAAGUACACGUCCUAUGUCAUUCCCUGGUUGUUUAGGUCCAGAAAUCAACAUAGACAACAUCAUGUACUUACGCUUCAUACAUAGCCAUGGAGGUAGGUUAUAAAUCAAUAAUCACAGGCCAUGUACUGUGUGAGAUACUCUGGAUACCGUGUGGGUUCAUUCCAUCAGUAGAUAAUGCCAAGCGAAGGUUUCUUGAUUCUUCUCCAAAUUCAGGAUAAUCAUUAUCAAUUUUCAAACCUGUGGUGAAUCUGCCGGAUGUCGUACUUUCCAUCUAUAAUUCUUUCAUCUGCAUGCCAGGUCAAGUGUCUUGAAUCGGUUUCACUACGAAAACAUGCGUCUAAACUCAGAAUAACAGGAAAAUACCACAGACCUUUGCUGGAGACAACUUGUUCUUAUAUCCGAGACACCGCAUUUAGGACACUCAUUUAACGAUGCAUACUCAUUUCGAAACAAACGCAAUCGUUUGGACAUGCAUGUAUCUUAUCAUAGCUCAUGCCAAUAGAGCACAACAUCUUUUUGGUUCAUAUGUUCGAUUGGGAAGAACAUUAUCCUCAGGAAGCAUAUCUUUCAAAAGGGCUAAUAACUCUGUGAAACUUUAUCCGACCACCCAUUGCCCGCCUUUAAGUUGUACAACUUUAAUACCGCAGACAAUCUUGUGAAUUUAGUGCAACCAUCAUACAAAGGUUUCUCUGCAUCACUUACCAACCUCUCAAACAUUUCGGGACAAUCCUUAAGAUCUCCUUCAAUGCUUCUGCAAUCUCUUCAACUCGAUCACAAUCGUAUUGUAUCUGCGCCACUAAGUUUGAGGCAUAGGUCGUACUAUCCCCCGUUAACAUUCUCGUUACUUUUCUCACCAUGGCAAAUUCCAACAUGUAUAACUUCGAUCAAUUCCAUGCCUCAUUAGAUGCGUGUCAACUGAACUGCGUCAACCCGUUUCCCAUAACAACAACCCAAGCAAGGACAUAUCAUUCUACUGGGUCUUCGGCGGUGCGCAACGGCAAACUUAACGAAUUCUGAUACCCCAUUCUCGUACUCUCUCGACAUCGAUUGGAAGACAUCCAUGUAUUAUCCAUUACUAAUUAGAAUAUAAAAAACAUUUCAGAAAGAGUUCAAACACAUUCGGACCUAGGUUUCUAAUGAUACUGGGUUGACACAAAAUCAGAUGUUUCAUAGGUUGUAUAACCCAUUGCAUCCGCAAUCAUGGUCACUAAAAACCAACCGUCAAUUUCCUAGUGCAUCCGCUAUCAUGGUCGAAACAAACGUAGAAGGAGGAAACGCGCAGUAUAAGGUAAAACAGAAAUUGGGCAAAGCUAAAACAAGCAAUAACAUAAACAGUAAUUGGAAAAGCGUGUACCUUUGAUUGGUAGAAGGAGGAAACGCGCAUGUAGAUCUAACAGAGGUGGAAGGAAAACGCCUCAGAACCCUAACGUGAAAAAGAACGCUAAUAACAGAUAGUGAAAUAACAAAAUGCGCGGUAUGUUAUAAUUUAAUGUUUACUAAAGGGGACAUUAGAGGGCGCUUGUGGAAAAAAAGCGCCCUCUAAAAGGGGCCUAAGAGGGCGCUUAUGAAAGCGCUCUCUAAGGCUUUCCAGAAGCGCUUUAUAAGCUGGAAAUGCACGUGGACUUAUAACAGCGCUUUAUUAAAAACGCCCUCUAAGGGUAACCUUAGAGGGCGCUUUCUAUAAAGCGCCAUGUAUUGUUGUCCCUCUAUCUCCUCCUUAUUUUUUCGUUUCACCUUAGAGGGCGCUUGUGGAAACAAAGCGCCCUCUAAAGGGGACCUAAGAGGGCGCUUAUGAAAGCGCUCUCUAAGGCUUUCCAGAAGCGUUCUAUAAGCUGGAAAUGCACAUGGACUUAAUAACAGCGCUUUCAUUAAAAAGCGCCCGUCUAAGGCCGUAAACCUUAGAGGGCGCUUUCUAAAAAGCGCCAUGUAUUGUUGUCCCUCUAUCUCCUCCUUAUUUUUUCGCUUCACCUUAGAGGGCGCUUUAUUACAAAAGCGCCCUCUAAAGUGAGUCGCUUCACUUUAGAGGGCGCUUUUGUAAUAAAGCGCCCUCUAAGGUGCGCUGUCUAAUCCAGUUUUUGGCGUAGUGAUUCAAAAUUCAGACUUGCAUCAUGCGUAAGUGCUCAAGUGCCCCCUACAAGCCGCCUCUACGCCCACGCCCCUGAACCCGGUCUCGGAGUCGGUGUCGGUGUUGACCAGCAAGGGGUUGUUUGGAUGAGACAUGUGGCGUAAUGUUUGGGACCAUCACAUUUGUCCAUAUGACACUUUAUCCUCUUUAGCUCCUUUGUUGAGUUUAAUAUUUUAAGUUUUUAUAAAUGCUUUUAAAAUAAGGAUGGCUUUUUAUGUAGGACUAUUGGCAAUACUUUUAUUGUCAUUAACUCAACUUCAUAAUUUCCAACAAGAGAAUCUCAUCUAACAGUAAAUUUCAGGAUCGGUACCUAUAUCUCCCUCGUCGUCUUGCUGCCCCUGCUGAUCGGAUUUCUUAUCGCGGUAGAUUCGAAAGCAAGCUUGAAACUCAACGCUACGUCAAAGAAUUCUUCCCUGACGCUAAUAUUGUUCAUUUCUUUGACUCCUUCAGCUGGAGAAUUCCGUCUGGUCUUCCUGGUCUGUCUCUUUGCUUUGUUCUGACUUUGCUUUUCUUCCUAAUGUUUCGUUAUUAGUCUUUUCUCAAUGCUAUUAAUUUUCUAUUUAUUAACAAGUUAUAGAUAGGGGCUUUUGAAUGUAUAAACUGUAAAAGCUCAUUUUAACUUGCGUUAGAUACUUGUUGUAAAGCUUUCCUGCAUGUUUAGAUAAUUAUAGUGACACAUAACAUACAAGCUUUUCUGCAUAGUAGGCCAUAUGAAUCCUGUGGCUGGUGGACUUCUUCAUCAGUUAGAAUUAAAAGUGCAGCCAGAAUCUGAUCCCGACAUUGGUGGAUGCAAAGCUGGGAGAUGUGCAGCAGUUUGAUUUUGGAUGAAGAAAAAGAAAAUUCACAUGUUGCACCGAUGCUAUCUGUUGCGGUAACGACAAUGUUGUGAUGGAUACUAUUGAUGACGAAGGUACUUUAAAGCAUUUAAAUGUUCAAAAAGGAACAAAAUCUUUUUGUUAUCAAUCCGAGUUAUCAAAACUUGAUGCUGAGUGUGAUAAGGCUAUGGAGGAUCUUGAAAAAUCACAGAAGUAUGAAUAUAAGGUGGCAGAGGAAAGCCUUCAUACACAUAAGAAAUAUUUACUAAAUAUUUCUCAACGACUCGACAAAGAGAAGUCUGAGUUAGCAGGGCAGUCCAGCACAUCUCGUUCAAACUUGUUUCAAACUAUAGAGAAAAGAAAUGAGCAGCUAAGGCGGGAAUUGAAGAAAUUUGAAGAAAUGAAGAAGGUAGCUAAUGGUUUUGGCAGCACAUCUAAAGUAAUUUUAGAACAGCACUUUGGCUUGUAAAUUGCAUUAUAAAAUUAUAGAGAUUACAGACAAGGGUUGAAUAAAAUGGCUAUGGGGCAUGGUAAUGGUUUUACUGCCAAAUAGUAAGUAUAAAUUAAUUCCUACAAAAACAGCCUGAAUAUAUUUAUUUGAAGUCUUUAUCUGAUAGCCUCUUAAAAAUAGCUAAAAUGAUACAUGUGGUCUUUUAUGUUAGUCCUAAAUUUUAGAUAGAUAUCCUUUCACCCCCAAAUUGGUCUUUAAAUCUCAAAAUGUGCAUGUUGUUGUCUGUUUUUUUUUUUUGUACUUCCUUUAAACUCUGUUAUAUUCUCAAUCUUCACAAGCUAUUAUUAAAACUGAAACUAUUAGAUAGGCAUGAAUGAAAGGGGGGUCACUAAAUGGCACAAAAUUAUCCCCAUGUUGCAAGGUUAAAGAGAGAACUAAACAAAUAUUUCACUCCGUAAGUAAUAUUUCAAAGUUCAUUAAUGUAUUUUUUUUUGAGUUAGGAGACUGUUUGGGUGGGUUCACUCCCUAAGUGGGACCCAAUGAUUAAAAGAAAAUUAAUUGCAUAUGUGUUAUGGUUUAAUUUGGCUAAAUCCACAUCAGCCUCGAGAAAAGGGAAACUAAAACUAAAAUAUAUAUAUUUUUAUUGUUGUUCAGCUCCUUCAAAAGAUUCAUUAACCAUACAGUUAAGCACGCAUAUAACGAAGCAGUAAUGUACUCGAUCUCACAAAAUGAAAGUGAAAUUAUCGGUUCCUUCUUCGAACACCAUGAGAUUGGUGUUUCACCGAGCAUAAAGAUGUAUCCAGUUGUAGACUUUUAAUCGUCUUUAUCUCUGGACUAAUUGAAAUCGAUAAAAUCGAGAAAAUUGCAUUUUAUACCCGUAUCUGCUGCCGGGAAGAUAAUUCUGCAGCCAAUUAAUCAUUUGAUGUAUCUUAGGAUCCUCUUGACUCCUGCCAAGUGAGACACCUUUGGUCUUCCCAUGAAUCUACCUACAAUACCGACACUAAAUACCAAGUAUGGAUGCGUAUUGCACAAAUAGCGCAAGGAUCUAACCAGCCUCCUAUACUGAGUUGGAUUAACAUCUUGCUCACCUUCAUUCUUCGAUAGUUGUAGCCUCGGCUCAGCCAGAAUAAUGGUAGUAUUACAAUGGUCCAUUUCAAACUUCUUCAAUAUCUCAAAUGCAUAACUUCUUUGGUGCAUGAGCAGUCCCCUUUUGGACUUGUAGAACUCAAUGCAAAGAAAGUAAGUCAUAAGGCAAAUGUCGGUAAUCUCAAAUUCUUUCAUAAGUUCACUUUUAAACUUAGAAAUACACUUUCUGUUACUGCUCGUUAUCAACAAAUUGUCUACAUAUAGACAAAGGAUAAUCAUUCCUUCACUUGUAUCCGUCUUCACAUACACGCCAUGCUCGGAUACACAUAUCUUGAAACCAACCUCCUUUAGGAAACCAUUUAUUCUCUUGUUACAAGCUCUUGGAGCUUGCUUCAAACUGUAUAACACUUUCUUCAACUUGUAGAAAUUUAGCUCUUGGUUUCUCAUAACAAAACUAGGGGCAUGUUCUAUAUACACCUCUUCUUCAAGUGGUUCGUUCAAAAAAACAUAUUUGACAUCCAUUUGGUAGAUAUGCCAAUUGUUGUUAUUCGCAAUACCGAAAACUAUCCUUAUGGUUUCAAUCCUAGCAAUCGGUGUGAAUACCUCUUCAAAGUCUAUGCCUUCUCUUUGUAAGAAUCCAUUUGCAAUUAAUACAACCUUAUGUUUGAUUACUCCAUCCUUAGGAUUUACCUUCACUUUGAACACCCAUCUCACUCCAAUUGUCUUCUUCUUGUCCGAUAGAUCAACCAACUGCUAAGUAUUGUUCUUCUAAAUAGAUUGUAACUUCUCCUUCAUAGCUCAAAUCCAUUUUGGAUCACUUAAAUCCUCUUCCAUUUUAACAGGUUCAGAUUCGGCCAUAAGUGCAAAAUGGACCAAAUCACCAUCAUCAUUGGCUCCGUUGUCUCAGAACAACUCACAGUCUUGGAGUCUUUGAGGAAAACCCCUUUGCCUUGUUGAUCUUCUCACAUUUCCUUUAAUUUGGGCUUUGGUAGCGGCCUUUUCUGCAUUUCCCGUAUCUACAGAAUCUGAACUUUCAAAGUUGUAACCGAUUACAGCUUUUACGUAACUAGUUACAGGUUGCUGCAACUCCUUGAUUUCAUCGACAAUGACGUCUCGGCUGAUCAUAACCCUCCUGUUUACUACAUCAAACAACUUGUAACCACCGAUAGAGAGAUGCCCUACAAGUAUCAUUAACUCUCCGUUAUCAUCCAGGUUCUUUCUAAGCUGCCCUAGAACACGUCGAUACGCUAUGGAACCAAAAGUUCUCAAAUGGUUCAGAUUCUGUUUGAUUCCUGACCAUGCUUCCUCCGAUAUUGCCUUCUCAAGCUUUUAAAUUUGUUGGACAUGUAUUCAACAAAUAGACAGUUGUUGAAUAGCUUCUUCCCAUAACUCUUUUGGCAAGUUCUUCCCCUUUAACAUGUUUCUCACCAUGUUCAGUCAUUUAUUCCUUUCAGCAAUACCAUUUUGUUGCGGUGUAUAAGGAGGUACAACUUCAUGUACAAUACCUUCUUGAUCAACAAACCUCUCAAAGUCUUUUGAGACAUAUUCGCCUCCACCAUCUAUUUUGAGCACUUUGAACUUAUGAUCCUUUUGCCUCUUAACCAUGGAUUUGAACUUCUUAAACACUUCAAAUACCUCAUCUUUUCUCUUUAUUAGGAAUGUCUAUAGCUUUAUACUAUGAUCAUCGAUGAAUAUGACAAAAUAUUUAUUGCCACCAAUGAAAUUUACUUGCAUCAGUCCACACACACCUGAAUACACCACCUCAAGGUGAUUCUUGGUUCUACAACAUGCACCCUUUUCUAAAUUUACCCUUAUGUAGCUCCUCUUUCACACAUUCUUCAUAAAUUUUAGUCGGCAUGCUGCUCAAGGGCAAUCUCGUUACCAUUAUGUUCUUUUGCAAGUCUUUGAGAUCUCGGAAAUUGAGAUGCCCAAUAUGAUAGUUCCACAUCCAUUCUUCUCGACUUACCUCUGUAGCAAGAGAUCUAUUCUCCAUAACCUUCACCUCAAUCUUGAAAGUUCUAUUGGCAUCCAUAAGAGCUUUAAGGACCAAAACCCUUUUUGCAACCAUAAUGUGUUGCCCCUUGUUUUCCAUGUGAAUCUUGUAACCCUUAUCAAGCAAUUGUACAAUAAUUUGAAGGUUACAUUUGAUUCCAGUAAUGUAUAAUACAUCUUUGAUAAAGGAAUUUCCAUCAUCCCUACUCAUGAUCAAAACAUCAUUGAUCCCAUCGACCGCUAUAAUGGUGUCAUCCGCGAACUUCACUUUGUUCUUCAUGGAACGAUUGAUUUUAACGAACCAAUCCUUCCUCCCCCUCAUAUGAUAUAAACACACGGAUCCAAAUACAAUUAUUGACUCAUUCUCUCACAGGCACCAUGACAUUUUCUUUUGCAUGUAAUCAGUUACAUCUUUCACGUAACCGGUUACAACCCGUUUUUGCAGCAUUCCCAGAAUUGUUGUUGCCUCGUAGCAUACUGUUGUUGCAUUCACCUUAUGUGAUAAUGAAUAAGAGUAUAUUCUCUUUAUCAAACUCUUGUCUUGCAACCUUGGCUUCAUCUCCUUGAGGUUCCUUCUUGUUCACAUUUCACUCUCUUACAAAAUGACCGAACUUUUGACACUUAAAGCACUGCUUAUUUGCUUUUGUCAAACCUCUUCUUUUCACCUUUAAAGUUUCCUUGACCACCAUUUUGUUAAAACUUAUCUCAAACCUUUGACAAGUCAAAUUCUUGAAACUUUGGGACUCUCUUCCACCAAAAAUUCCGAAAACUCCCUUUACUCUUCAUGGACCAUUUUUCUUUCGAUCUCUUAUCCUUCUCAUUGAAGCAAUCUUGCAAAGAGAUCUUCGCCUUAGUCUUAUCAUUAUUUCUAUCCUCAUUACUUUGCUCAUUAGCCUCAAGAGAUCUUUGUAACUCCUAUUUGCUAAUUUUUGCAAGAUCCUACGAUUCCUCAAUCACUACAACCAUGUUUUCAAAUCUUGGCAUUAAAGAACACAAGAUUUUCGCGACAACAUAUUGCUUCGUGACUGCUUCUCCACAUGCCUUCACUUGAUUCAUUAAUCGAGUAAUUCUUGUUGUGAAAUCGUUCUUUGUCUCUUUUUCUUCCAUUUGAAUCAAUUCAAGUUAACACUUGUAAGUUUGUAACUUCACCACCCUUCGUCUUGUCAGCCCAUGUGUAUGUCUUCUCUAAGACUUCCCACGCUUUCUUCAAUAAUUCGCAAUCAUCAACUUUCUUAAAUUUGUCACCAUUCGCACAUUGAUGGAUCAACAAUAGCGCCUUGAAAUCAUUCUUCUUAUCUUCUUUAUGCAUUGCUCUUUGUGCAUCUGUUGCACCUUCGACAAAGGGAUUCAUCCCGUUCUUGAUCACUUAAAAAAAAUCUUUGUAGCCAAAUAACACUUUCAUUUGUUUAUAAUAUUUGUCAUAAUUCUUCGCAUCAAGGAUAGGUAGGUUUGCAGAGAUUCUUUCAUUGGAAACAAAAAUCAUGUUACACACUAGAUAUUUGUGGAUUAGAACCAAACUCUUGAUGUCAAAUGUUAGAACUUGGAAUCACAAGAUUGGUGAAUAAUGGAGAAAAUUAGAGUAUGGAUAAGGAAAGAGGAAUAUAUAUAUAUAUAUAUAUUAUAGUAUAUAUAUAUCUAACGAAUAUAUAUAUAUUAAAUUAAAUAUAUUAUAUAUAAUAUAUAUUUUAUAUAUUAAUUAUAUAUAACAAUAAAUAUAUAAUAUAUUAUAUAUAUAUAUAUAUAUAUAUAAUAAUAUAUAUAUAUAUAUUAAUAUAUAUAUAUUUAUAUAUAUAUAUAUAAUAUAUAUAUAUAUAUAUUUAUAUAAUAUAUAUAUAUCUAUAUAUAUAAUAUAUAUAAUAUAUAUAUAUAUAUAUAUUAUAUAUAUAUAUAUAUAUAUAUAUAUAUAUAUAUAUAAAAUAAAUAAAUAAUAGAUAUAUUUAUUGGUGUAAGCCCUAGAGGCCAAUACUUUUGGUACUUGUAUCGAAUUAUUUAUUAAUACUAAAAGGCUUUCUUUAUUAUGUUGUUUAAUAAAGUCCCUAGAAUAGAUAGUCUGUUUAAUGUAUCAAGUGUGACUUAAUCAUGAGUCACAUUAAACAUAAGACAUUAUUCU
Molecule: long non-coding RNA, 29703 nt
Filed under: Lathyrus oleraceus (garden pea)
Lineage: Eukaryota; Viridiplantae; Streptophyta; Magnoliopsida; Fabales; Fabaceae
Description: Pisum sativum (pea) long non-coding RNA (PSAT_LNC037723)
Source: RNAcentral